Molecule: long non-coding RNA, 1505 nt
Organism: Rosa rugosa (rugosa rose)
Lineage: Eukaryota; Viridiplantae; Streptophyta; Magnoliopsida; Rosales; Rosaceae
Exons: 8
Source: RefSeq, a predicted model, not a curated record
CUUCAUUUUGGGAACGAAAGAAUUGACAAAACCCAACCUUAUCUCCUUGAGAAACCCCUUCUUCGACAGACCUCGAGUCCUCGACCCUCUCCCUCUCUCUUCUUCGACACAACUCUCCCUCUCUCUUCUUGACAAGCCCCAACCUUAUCUCCUCCACAGACCCCGACCUAUCUUUUCUCUGACAAGCCCCAACAAAAGCUCUCCCUCUUCGACAAACCCCGACCAAAACCAUCUCUGCCUCUAGCUAGGUUAUUCGAUUUGGGAAAUAGGGAAGGGAAGAAAACUUAAUGGGUAGCCUCUAGGAAGUCUCAGAGCACCAAUUAAAGAGAGAGAAAGAGAGCGAUUUUUCGUUUCUAGGGUUUACGCGAUCAAUGCGAGUUCCAAAGAUGCAGAAGCUAGGGUUUCCGAGCAUGAGGAGCUUGGAUCAGUUCAAGUCCCUCUCCAAAUCGGUCUCAGGAGGACCUCCAAAAGACCUUCGCCUACUCUUCACGUCCGCCGGAGUCGACCUUGUUGGGAUGCUUGGCGUCAUGCUUCAACGCGAGACCAUGGAGAAGCUCCAGCGAUAACACAAUCAGGAAAAGUUGGAUGGGUGGAGAGGGAUGACAAUAUGUGGUGGGUUGAGCACAAAAUAUUGGUUCAGAAUCGAAAGGAAAGGAAACAUGAAGGCAUAUAAAGAUAGAGAAGGCCAUAUAUGAUCAAGUGCACAUCUUGGUGCUUCUGAUCUUGUUACGGUGUAAAAGAGCAUGGGAAAUUCUGAUUUGACAUUUUCAAAUUUUUGGUGUAAAAUUGACAUGAAGCAAAAUCUGUUGGGAUUAGGAAGGUUGUGAAUGGAUGGUAUCUUACUGCUGUGAAUGUCCUUGUCAAAGUGAAAAAAGAAAGAGAAGCCUUUUCCUGAGGUUUAAAAGCUGGAGAGAAUAAAGUCUGGCUCUUUAAAUUUAAAGUUUCAUCAAAGCCAAAUUCCAUACUGGGUAUUCUUCAUUUGACAUAUAGAGAUGCUUUCAUGUUGGUGAUCAAGAACAUCAAAGUCAGAAGAGAGUAUUUUUGGUGUACAAAGUGGUGAUCAUUCCGGCAACCACAAGCUUUUGAGUGCAGACAAAGUCAUGUGAAUCUUUCUUCCAUAUGGAAACGGUUUCAGUUAUUCCUUGAGCAGUUGCAUAGUGUUCUUCAAGAAAAUGAAGAAUCCGUUAGGUACCGAUGGUUCCAUUAGAGUCAUGAUGAGCUCAUACUUAGGAGCCGUGAUCAGUCAGUAUCCGACUAUGGAAAGUGUACACAAAUAUAAAGGAAGAGGACAUGGCAGAUUGAAGUAAUGCUCGGGUAUUCCUUUCUGAACUGUGAAUUUUGUUUCUCAUUUGUUCUUGGUAUCAAGUUUUCUUGAUGUGGUAGACCUUGACAACAGUAUUAUCUUUCAUUGUUUUGUUUUUGUUCAAGCAAAUAGCAUUAACUUAUAUAAGAAUGCAGACUGUGUUACAUAUGAAAUCUUCCCUUUUUUUUUUUCGGUUUUACAU